UACGUAGGGUGCGAGCGUUGUCCGGAAUUAUUGGGCGGAAAGAGCUCGUAGGCGGUUUGUUGCGUCUAUCGUGAAAACCUGCAGCUUAACUGUGGGCUUGCGGUGGAUACGGGCAGACUUGAGUUCGGUAGGGGAGACUGGAAUUCCUGGUGUAGCGGUGAAAUGCGCAGAUAUCAGGAGGAACACCGGUGGCGAAGGCGGGUCUCUGGGCCGAUACUGACGCUGAGGAGCGAAAGCGUGGGGAGCGAACAGG
This 253-nucleotide ribosomal RNA is filed under the name uncultured bacterium. Its description in RNAcentral is "partial 16S ribosomal RNA". It matches the Rfam family "Bacterial small subunit ribosomal RNA", at positions 524 to 776 of the family's 1533-position model. The record is from RNAcentral.